GACGAACGCUGGCGGCGUGCUUAACACAUGCAAGUCGAACGGAAAGGCCCUGCUUUUGUGGGGUGCUCGAGUGGCGAACGGGUGAGUAACACGUGAGUAACCUGCCCUUGACUUUGGGAUAACUUCAGGUAACUGGGGCUAAUACCGGCUAGGAGCUCCUGCUGCAUGGUGGGGGUUGGAAAGUUUCGGCGGUUGGGGAUGGACUCGCGGCUUAUCAGCUUGUUGGUGGGGUAGUGGCUUACCAAGGCUUUGACGGGUAGCCGGCCUGAGAGGGUGACCGGCCACAUUGGGACUGAGAUACGGCCCAGACUCCUACGGGAGGCAGCAGUGGGGAAUAUUGCACAAUGGGCGGAAGCCUGAUGCAGCAACGCCGCGUGCGGGAUGACGGCCUUCGGGUUGUAAACCGCUUUCGCCUGUGACGAAGCGUGAGUGACGGUAAUGGGUAAAGAAGCACCGGCUAACUACGUG
RNAcentral lists this ribosomal RNA (468 nucleotides) under uncultured bacterium. Its description in RNAcentral is "partial 16S ribosomal RNA". It matches the Rfam family "Bacterial small subunit ribosomal RNA", at positions 28 to 507 of the family's 1533-position model. The record is from RNAcentral.